RNAcentral lists this long non-coding RNA (674 nucleotides) under Lathyrus oleraceus (garden pea). RNAcentral describes it as "Pisum sativum (pea) long non-coding RNA (PSAT_LNC030066)". Lineage: Eukaryota; Viridiplantae; Streptophyta; Magnoliopsida; Fabales; Fabaceae. The record is from RNAcentral.
CAAAGUAUUGGAAUAAUUAAAUCGGGCCCAAUCAACAAAUAAUGCAUGAGUGUAAGUGCAAGAGAACCGGCUCAUUGUAAGAAAGCCCAAGAGUAAGCUAUGUGAGGUUGAUGGCGAUGCUUAAAAAGCGAUCGACUUACAAGGGUGUGAGAAUGGGCUCGAUAUUAAAUCGAGAAAAAUAUGAUUUUUUAUAAGUUUAAAAAUGGUUUUGCAUGCAUGAUGAACUUAAUAGACAACAAAUCUAUGAUAAUGAAACUAUGAAAAAUAAUGAAGCAUAAACAUAACAAAAAAAAUGUUAAAAGAAAUAAAAUACUAAAAGGAAAUAAAAUGCUAAAAGAAAAAUACUAAAAAAUGCUACACAUGAGUAUUGAACCCACCCCACUCAAGACUAUGAUACUACCCUUCUCCACCAGACCACUCAUGAUUAUCUGCUACUGUGGUGCUACGUUAAAUAUAUAAACCGGGAUAAAAAAUGAAAAAAAAAGAUUAAGAUAAAAAAUAAAAAGAACAAUAAAAGAAAAUACUAACAUAUAAACAUUUUUAUGUUUUUUUUUGUUUAUCUCUGUUAAAACAAAUUAAAUUAAAUUAAAAAUUAAAAGAAAAGAAAAAAAAGAAUGGAAACGAAGAAACAGAAGCUCGUCUUCCUUCACCCUCUCCCCAACCUCACGAACUCA